RNAcentral lists this ribosomal RNA (440 nucleotides) under uncultured bacterium. RNAcentral describes it as "partial 16S ribosomal RNA". It matches the Rfam family "Bacterial small subunit ribosomal RNA", at positions 338 to 795 of the family's 1533-position model. The record is from RNAcentral.
CCUACGGGUGGCAGCAGUGGGGAAUAUUGCACAAUGGGGGAAACCCUGAUGCAGCGACGCCGCGUGAGUGAAGAAGUACCUCGGUACGUAAAGCCCUAUCAGCAGGGAAGAAAAUGACGGUACCUGACUAAGAAGCCCCGGCUAACUACGUGCCAGCAGCCGCGGUAAUACGUAGGGGGCACGCGUUAUCCGGAUUUACUGGGUGUAAAGGGAGCGUAGACGGCAGUGCAAGCCUGGAGUGAAAGCCCGGGGCCCAACCCCGGGACUGCUCUGGAAACUGUGCGGCUGGAGUGCAGGAGGGGUAGGCGGAAUUCCUGGUGUAGCGGUGAAAUGCGUAGAUAUCAGGAGGAACACCGGUGGCGAAGGCGGCUUACUGGACUGUAACUGACGUUGAGGCUCGAAAGCGUGGGGAGCAAACAGGAUUAGAUACCCUUGUAGUC